GCAAGCCUGGUCUAGCGGUUAUGAUUUCUGUCUAACACACAGAAGGUUCUGAGUUCGAUUCUCAGGGUUUGUA
Non-coding RNA from Rachicladosporium sp. CCFEE 5018, 73 nucleotides. The record is from Rfam. Lineage: Eukaryota; Fungi; Ascomycota; Dothideomycetes; Cladosporiales; Cladosporiaceae.